GACGAACGCUGGCGGCGUGCUUAACACAUGCAAGUCGAACGGUAAGGCCUUUCGGGGUACACGAGUGGCGAACGGGUGAGUAACACGUGGGUGAUCUGCCCUGCACUUCGGGAUAAGCCCGGGAAACUGGGUCUAAUACCGGAUAGGACUGCGCGGUGCAUGCCGUGUGGUGGAAAGAUUUAUCGGUGCAGGAUGGGCCCGCGGCCUAUCAGCUUGUUGGUGGGGUAAUGGCCUACCAAGGCGACGACGGGUAGCCGGCCUGAGAGGGCGACCGGCCACACUGGGACUGAGACACGGCCCAGACUCCUACGGGAGGCAGCAGUGGGGAAUAUUGCACAAUGGGCGCAAGCCUGAUGCAGCGACGCCGCGUGAGGGAUGACGGCCUUCGGGUUGUAAACCUCUUCCAGCAGGGACGAAGCGUGAGUGACGGUACCUGCAGAAGAAGCACCGGCCAACUACGUG
RNAcentral lists this ribosomal RNA (462 nucleotides) under uncultured bacterium. Its description in RNAcentral is "partial 16S ribosomal RNA". It matches the Rfam family "Bacterial small subunit ribosomal RNA", at positions 28 to 507 of the family's 1533-position model. The record is from RNAcentral.